UUAUAAAUUUUUUUUUCUUUAUUCUAAAAACCAGAAAAAACAAAACUGGAUACAUGUGCAGAACAUGCAGACCAAGUGUGUUGGGGACUUGAGAUGCGUACAUGAGUGUGAUGUUUCCUGCUGAAAGCACAGGUGAGACGUGGUCUUGUAACACAGUGGUUAAGAAUGUGACUUUGGAGCCAGCCUGCUAGGGGCUGAAUUCUGACUCAGCCAUUUACUAACUGUGUGACCUUAGGCUGGAGUGCAAUGGCAUGAUCUCGGCUCAUCACAACCUCUGCUUCCUGGGUUCAAGCGAUUCUCCUGCCUCAGCCUCCCGAGUACCUGGGACUACAGGCACUCGCCACCAUG
This 348-nucleotide long non-coding RNA is filed under the name Homo sapiens (human). Its description in RNAcentral is "non-protein coding PCBP1-AS1:165". The record is from RNAcentral. Lineage: Eukaryota; Metazoa; Chordata; Mammalia; Primates; Hominidae.